GUCCUAAUUACAAAGAUAAGGCAGGAAAUGUAUAAAUUAAAAUGAAAACUCACUACAAUUUAAGCAACAGUAGACGCAUCAGUAUGAACGUUCAUCAAGUGCUAUCGUACAUUAUCCUGAUUUCCAUAUUCAAGUGGAACGAUGCUCUACUGUGUUACUCCUGUACGGAUUUGAAAAACAACGAAGCCUGCUUCAAUAUAACAGCGUGCCCGGAUGGAGAAGUACUCUUUUCAAUGUUCAAAUACUUUAAUUCAAUAAGUGGACAUAACAUAAAUAUCUAAUCAUACCUGUUUUAUGCAAUUACUCCGUAAGAUCCAUAACAUUUUCUCCCGGAUAUUUAUUUUAUUUUUAUGGGGUUCAACGUCACGCCGAUACAAUUAUAAGUCGACUUUCCAGCUUUUCAUAAUGCAGAAAGACCCCAAGUGACCUUCCAGACAUUAUUUCAGAUGGGUACCUGGCCGGAAUAACCACAUUUACUAGACCAUGAGCCAAA
Mercenaria mercenaria is the source of this 493-nucleotide long non-coding RNA. RefSeq lists it as uncharacterized. The record is from RefSeq and is a predicted model, not a curated record. The transcript is spliced from 3 exons. NCBI's taxonomy places the organism in Eukaryota, Metazoa, Mollusca, Bivalvia, Venerida, Veneridae.